AUGGGCCGCCGCCGCCGCCAGCCCUCCUCGCCGUCGCCGGCGGCAGAGCAUCCGCUGGAAGACGACGACCUACUGCGCGAGAUCCUCCUCCGCCUACCCCCACAGCCGCCCUACCUCCUGCGCGCCUCCCUCGUCGCCAAGCGCUGGCGACACAUCGCCAUCGACCCCAAGUUCCUCCACCGCUUCCGCACCGACCACGGGAAGCCUCCCCUCCUUGGGGACUUCUCCCUACAAAUCAACGGAAAACUCUCGUUCAGAUCCACCCUGGACCUGCCCUACCGCAUCCCUCCCGACCACUUCUCCCUACAAGUCAACGGCCGCGAGCCAUGGAGGUUGGUCGACUGCCGCCACCGACGCGUGCUCCUCAUCAACAGCGAGAUGCGUCAGGUCAUUGUGUGGGACCCCUUGACUGGCGACCGCUCCCUCUUGUCCGCUCCGCCGGCGUUUGACGACAUGCACACUGCGGCGGUGCUCUGCGCUGCCGGCGAGCAGGGCCACGCUCAUGGUGCCUGCCACUCGAGCCCAUUUAAAGUGGUCGUGGUAGACAGCUGCGAGCACGGGGAUGAAACCGUCGUCUUCGUGAGUGUUUACUCAUCAGAGACUGGCGUAUGGAGUGAUCUCCUCUCAACACCGCUUGCAUCUAUGGGUAUUGCUGUUGGUAAUUGCAGCACACUUGUUGGUAACACCUUUCACUGGUUGCUUCUGAUGAGUAACAACAUACUUGAGUUUGAUUUGGAUAGACAGACGCUAGCUGUGAUCAAUAGGCCACCUGGUGUUCGUUCGGAUGACAGUGCUUGGAUCAUCCAGGCAGAUGAUGGCGGUGUUGGCUUCUCUGCUUUGUCGUGCGCCCACUGCCAGUAUGUCUACUGCUACCACCAACCCUGUUUCCAAAUGUGGGAUAGGAAGGCCAAUUGCUAUGGUGUUGCCGUAUGGGUGUUGAGGAAAUCCAUUGGACUGCAGAAGCUACUUGGGUUGGGGUUUAAGAUUGAGAGGAACUGGUCACAUAUAGUGCGUUAUGCUGAGCAUGUUCAUGCUUUAUUUUUAUGGGUGCACUCAUCUCUCUUCAUCGUUCAGCUUGAGUCAAUGCAGCCCAAGGAGCUUUUUAAAAGUGAUCCUAUGUACGCCUAUUAUCCUUUCACAAGUUUCUAUGAUGAAGGUAUCAGUGGUUUGAAGCAGAAGUAG
RNAcentral lists this ribosomal RNA (1182 nucleotides) under Triticum aestivum (bread wheat). RNAcentral describes it as "partial small subunit ribosomal RNA". Lineage: Eukaryota; Viridiplantae; Streptophyta; Magnoliopsida; Poales; Poaceae. The record is from RNAcentral.